AGUGAACGCUGGCGGUAGGCCUAACACAUGCAAGUCGAACGGCAGCACAGUAAGAGCUUGCUCUUACGGGUGGCGAGUGGCGGACGGGUGAGGAAUACAUCGGAAUCUACUUUUUCGUGUGGGUUAACGUAGGGAAACUUACGCUCAUACCGCAUAUGACCUACGGGUGAAAGCAGGGGAUCUUCGGACCUUGCGCGAUUGAAUGAGCCGCUGUCGGAUUUGCUAGUUGGCGGGGUAAAGGCCCACCCAGGCGCAGAUCCGUAGCUGGUCUGAGAGGCUGGUCGGCCACACGGGAACUGAGACACGGUCCAGACUCCUACGGGAGGGAGCAGUGUGGAAUAUUGGACAAUGGGCGCAAGCCUGAUCCAGCCAUACCGCGUGGGUGAAGAAGGCCUUCGGGUUGUAAAGCCCUUUUGUUGGGAAAGAAAAGCAGCAGGUUAAUACCCCGCUGUUCUGACGGUACCCAAAGAAUAAGCACCGGCUAACUUCGUG
RNAcentral lists this ribosomal RNA (492 nucleotides) under uncultured bacterium. Its description in RNAcentral is "partial 16S ribosomal RNA". It matches the Rfam family "Bacterial small subunit ribosomal RNA", at positions 29 to 507 of the family's 1533-position model. The record is from RNAcentral.